UACGUAGGCGGAAAAAUAAGUCAGUGGUGAAAUCCUGCAGCUCAACUGUAGAACUGCCAUUGAAACUGUUUUUCUUGAGUAUAGUUGAGGUGGGCGGAAUGUGUCAUGUAGCGGUGAAAUGCUUAGAUAUGACACAGAACACCGAUUGCGUAGGCAGCUCACUAAACUAUCACUGACGCUGAGGUACGAAAGCGUGGGGAGCGAACAGGAUUAAUACCCUGGUAGUCC
RNAcentral lists this ribosomal RNA (228 nucleotides) under uncultured bacterium. RNAcentral's name for it is "partial 16S ribosomal RNA". It matches the Rfam family "Bacterial small subunit ribosomal RNA", at positions 568 to 796 of the family's 1533-position model. The record is from RNAcentral.